AGAUUGAACGCUGGCGGCAGGCCUAACACAUGCAAGUCGAGCGGCAGCACGGGUACUUGUACCUGGUGGCGAGCGGCGGACGGGUGAGUAAUGCCUAGGAAUCUGCCUGGUAGUGGGGGAUAACGCUCGGAAACGGACGCUAAUACCGCAUACGUCCUACGGGAGAAAGCGAGGGGACCUUCGGGCCUUGCGCUAUCAGAUGAGCCUAGGUCGGAUUAGCUAGUUGGUGAGGUAAUGGCUCACCGAAGGCACGAUCCGUAAUGGUCUGAGAGGAUGAUCAGUCACACGUGGAACUGAGACC
This 301-nucleotide ribosomal RNA is filed under the name uncultured soil bacterium. RNAcentral describes it as "bacterial SSU rRNA". It matches the Rfam family "Bacterial small subunit ribosomal RNA", at positions 26 to 326 of the family's 1533-position model. The record is from RNAcentral.